UCAGCUGGGCCUGCUCCCUGUUGGCCCUGAUUGAUGGUCCGAGGAACUUUGACCUGGGUUUAGUCACCGAAAUCCCCACCUGAAAAUCUCUUUGAAGAUUGAUUAAGUAAAUACUCAUCAGCACUGAUACUAACCAUCGAGUGACGCAGUCGAAUUCUCUGGAGUGAGAGGAAGAAGGCACAGGCGACAAGGCGGAGGCACAGUGCCUUUCUGUUCCUCUAACUGGGACCCAAACUGAGGAAGACCUCGUGAAGACAUGACAAGAUGGCCAUUUGCAAGCCAAGGAGAGAGGCCUCAGGAGGAACCAAGCUUGCUGACACCUUGAACUUGGACUUCUGACCUCUAGACUGUGAAGAAAUACAGUCUGUAGGGCUUUGUUUUGGUGGCCCAAGCAAACUGGUGCAAUCACUAGCACAGAAUGCUGUGCAAGGUAUUCUAGAAGACGUAGAGACAGAAGUGGAGAAGUACGGGAAAAAGAGGAACAGGAAUGGGUCCAUCCUUUCUUCUUCAUUUUCUCCUUCAAAACCACUCCCCAUUCAGCCUCUCCUUACUUCCACCCCCAGCAGAAAGAGGAAACUGAAGAGGAAAUGAAACAGAGGGCUCCCAGCAGAUGCUCUGGAAUGCAAUGGAAACCCUCUAACAGUCUGGCUGCCCCUCCUCCAAUCAGUUACGCAGUGCAUGUAUGUACAUGCUGCU
Molecule: long non-coding RNA, 696 nt
Organism: Ochotona curzoniae (black-lipped pika)
Lineage: Eukaryota; Metazoa; Chordata; Mammalia; Lagomorpha; Ochotonidae
Exons: 2
Source: RefSeq, a predicted model, not a curated record